UACAGAGGGUGCAAGCGUUAAUCGGAUUUACUGGGCGUAAAGCGUGCGUAGGUGGCUUGUUUAGUCAGAUGUGAAAUCCCCGGGCUCAACCUGGGAACUGCAUUUGAUACUGGCAGGCUUGAGUGUGGUAGAGGGUAGUGGAAUUCCGCAUGUAGCGGUGAAAUGCGUAGAGAUGCGGAGGAACAUCAGUGGCGAAGGCGGCUACCUGGACCAACACUGACACUGAGGCACGAAAGCUAGGGGAGCAAACAGG
RNAcentral lists this ribosomal RNA (253 nucleotides) under uncultured bacterium. Its description in RNAcentral is "partial 16S ribosomal RNA". It matches the Rfam family "Bacterial small subunit ribosomal RNA", at positions 524 to 776 of the family's 1533-position model. The record is from RNAcentral.